CCUACGGGAGGCAGCAGUGAGGAAUAUUGGUCAAUGGACGAGAGUCUGAUCCAGCCAAGUAGCGUGAAGGAUGACUGCCCUCUGGGUUGUAAACUUCAUUUAUAUGGGAAUAAAAUGUUCCACGUGUGGGAUUUUGUAUGGACCAUAUGAAUAACGAUCGGCUAACUCCGUGCCAGCAGCCGCGGUAAUACGGAGGUGCCGAGCGUUAUCCGGAUUUAUUGGGUUUAAAGGGAGCGUAGGUGGAUUGUUAAGUCAGUUGUGAAAGUUUGCGGCUCAACCGUAAAAUUGCAGUUGAAACUGGCAGUCUUGAGUACAGUAGAGGUGGGCGGAAUUCGUGGUGUAGCGGUGAAAUGCUUAGAUAUUACGAAGAACUCCGAUGGCGAAGGCAGUUCACUGGACUGCAACUGACACUGAGGCUCGAAAGUGUGGGUAUCAAACAGGAUUAGAUACCCGAGUAGUC
Molecule: ribosomal RNA, 460 nt
Filed under: uncultured bacterium
Lineage: Bacteria
Description: partial 16S ribosomal RNA
Rfam family: Bacterial small subunit ribosomal RNA
Source: RNAcentral